RNAcentral lists this transfer RNA (68 nucleotides) under Arma custos. RNAcentral describes it as "tRNA-Phe". The record is from RNAcentral. Lineage: Eukaryota; Metazoa; Arthropoda; Insecta; Hemiptera; Pentatomidae.
AUCUAGAUAACUUAUAUUUUAAAGUUUAACUCUGAAGAAGUUAUUAAAGGUGAAUUACCUUCUAGAUA